Molecule: non-coding RNA, 73 nt
Organism: Stegodyphus mimosarum
Lineage: Eukaryota; Metazoa; Arthropoda; Arachnida; Araneae; Eresidae
Source: Rfam
GCCGUUGUGGUGUAGUGGUCAGCACGCUGAACGCGUAUUCCAGAGGGCCGUGGUUCGAGUCCCAGCGAAGGCG